This 483-nucleotide ribosomal RNA is filed under the name uncultured bacterium. RNAcentral describes it as "bacterial SSU rRNA". It matches the Rfam family "Bacterial small subunit ribosomal RNA", at positions 28 to 492 of the family's 1533-position model. The record is from RNAcentral.
GAUGAACGCUGGCGGCAUGCCUAAUACAUGCAAGUCGAACGAGAGGGAGGAAAGCUUGCUUUCCUAAAUCUAGUGGCGAACGGGUGAGUAACACGUAGGUAACCUGCCCAUGUGCCCGGGAUAACUUCUGGAAACGGAUGCUAAAACCGGAUAGGUAGCAGACAAGCAUUUGACUGCUAUUAAAGUGGCUAAGGCCAUGAACAUGGAUGGACCUGCGGUGCAUUAGCUAGUUGGUGAGGUAACGGCCCACCAAGGCGACGAUGCAUAGCCGGCCUGAGAGGGCGGACGGCCACAUUGGGGACUGAGACACGGGCCCAAACUCCUACGGGAGGCAGCAGUAGGGAAUUUUCGUCAAUGGGGGGAACCCUGAACGAGCAAUGCCGCGUGAGUGAGGAAGGUCUUCGGAUCGUAAAGCUCUGUUGUAAGAGAAAAACGGCACUCAUAGGGAAUGAUGAGUGAGUGAUGGUAUCUUACCAGAAAGUC